UGGGCAGUAUCGAAAUGAACUGCACCGUUAUUCCAAGCAGGGAACAAUAAUAAUUUGGAUUCUGCCUUGAUCCAAUAAUGGACUGGGACAGAGGG
RNAcentral lists this non-coding RNA (95 nucleotides) under Bacillus cytotoxicus NVH 391-98. Its description in RNAcentral is "pan motif". It matches the Rfam family "pan motif". Lineage: Bacteria; Bacillati; Bacillota; Bacilli; Caryophanales; Bacillaceae. The record is from RNAcentral.